UGCAUAUCCAAUAGCGGAGGAAAAGAAACUAACAAGGAUUCCCCUAGUAACUGCGAGUGAAGCGGGAAAAGCUCAAAUUUAAAAUCUGGUGGUCUUUGGCCAUCCGAGUUGUAAUCUAGAGAAGUGUUAUCCGCGCUGGACCGUGUACAAGUCCCCUGGAAUGGGGCGUCAUAGAGGGUGAGAAUCCCGUCUUUGACACGGACUACCAGGGCUUUGUGAUGCACUCUCAAAGAGUCGAGUUGUUUGGGAAUGCAGCUCAAAAUGGGUGGUAAAUUCCAUCUAAAGCUAAAUAUUGGCGAGAGACCGAUAGCGAACAAGUACCGUGAGGGAAAGAUGAAAAGAACUUUGGAAAGAGAGUUAAACAGUACGUGAAAUUGUUGAAAGGGAAACGCUUGAAGUCAGUCGCGUCUGCCAGGGAUCAACCUUACUUUUGUGAGGCGUACUUCCUGGUUGAUGGGUCAGCAUCAGUUUUGGUCGCUGGAUAAAGGUCAGAGAAAUGUGGCACCUUCGGGUGUGUUAUAGUCUUUGAUCAGAUACAGUGGCUGGGACUGAGGAACUCAGCGCCGCAAGGCUGUCUUAGGAUGCUGGCAAAAUGGCUUUAAUCGACCCGUCUUGAAACACGGACCAAGGGAGUCA
Molecule: ribosomal RNA, 636 nt
Filed under: Pleurotus ostreatus (oyster mushroom)
Lineage: Eukaryota; Fungi; Basidiomycota; Agaricomycetes; Agaricales; Pleurotaceae
Description: LSU rRNA
Rfam family: Eukaryotic large subunit ribosomal RNA
Source: RNAcentral